GCGAAGCGAAAAUAAUAAUUAUACGAAAUUCAGCGAAAAUUAUCAAACCAUGUUAUCACAGCCUGAAUUGUAGUUGGUUGAGAUAACCGAUACACAUCGGAAUACACGAAACAUAUCAGCUGAGAUGAUGAUGAAUCAGACAAAUUCACUGUUAAACUUCAGAAUAAUGCACCCUAUACCACAAAGUACUGCAUGAGCUCCAUUAUCAUGCAGGAUUGAGAUAUCGGCUUUGGCGCCCUAUAUCUUGGGCGCUUUACAUUUAAUGGCCUGACCGGUCAGACCCGAAUUCUUUUCUCUGUAUCAAUGGAAAGAUCUGGUCUGUGUUUCUCAAAUAUCCAGAGAAAAUAGACCUCAUUCUAAUGUUAUCUAAAAUUACCGGUCAGAUAGGUCCGAAGCCCAAAUGUUUUGUGCUUCAUUCAACAAUUUGACUGGUCUGGCCGUGUUGAUGGAAUGCGCCCCUUGUUACCAAUGUUUUGCGUAUAUAAAGAUCUCUUAUGUUAUCUAAUAAAACUGAUAAAAAUGAUAACUAAUAAAAAUGAUAAAGCGCUCUAAAGCCCAUAUCUCACUCCCGGAAAAGAGACUUUAUAUAUAGGGAAAGCUGAGGCUCACUUAUGUUCAUAUUUGACACAACAUGCAGUCAUAAGGAAAUAAAGAGCAACACGGACAGUCGGUUUAUUUUGAAUCUUUCAUUUUUCAGAACAAUUGAAAUAUACAGUGUGUCGUCGAUAGUGAUAAAAGAUAAGUGAUUUAGAAGUAAGAUAUUUACUUAUUUAUUUUUUUUGUAUCAAUCCUUGAGAAACAAAAAUAAGUAAUAAGUUAUGAACAACAAGGGUGAAAGUUUUAGAAACAAGAUUAUUUAUUUCUGAUUACAAUAAAUGUAAAUAGGACCUAUUUAGUAUUUGUUAACCCCAUAAUAUCAGCUGCAUGUGUCAGUAUUCUGUAUAACUGACUCCUCUUAUCUAUACAUUAUUAUUCAUUUAUAUGUAAUAUAUUGUAUAGGUACUAUAGUAAGAGUAAGCUAAUUUUAACUAUAUAGAUUAUAGUACGUACAAAUAAGGAAAAAUUUGUGGUUAUAUAGCAUAUAUUGACCGAUUCGAAAACUGGCUACCAAAAUGUUAUUUUAUCUCUUAUGCAUUACUAUAUGCUAAUAAACAAUUUUUCAACCGAGACUGUUAUUUAAGGCGG
Paramuricea clavata is the source of this 1185-nucleotide non-coding RNA. The record is from the annotation of a GenBank genome assembly. Lineage: Eukaryota; Metazoa; Cnidaria; Anthozoa; Malacalcyonacea; Plexauridae.